CAGGGAGUAGUUUAAUUAUUAAAAUAUUAAUUUUGGGAAUUAAUGAAAAAGUAAUACUUUUUCUCUGA
RNAcentral lists this transfer RNA (68 nucleotides) under Geoscapheus rugulosus. Its description in RNAcentral is "tRNA-Pro". Lineage: Eukaryota; Metazoa; Arthropoda; Insecta; Blattodea; Blaberidae. The record is from RNAcentral.